This 472-nucleotide ribosomal RNA is filed under the name uncultured Pseudomonadota bacterium. Its description in RNAcentral is "bacterial SSU rRNA". It matches the Rfam family "Bacterial small subunit ribosomal RNA", at positions 40 to 509 of the family's 1533-position model. The record is from RNAcentral. Lineage: Bacteria; Pseudomonadati; Pseudomonadota.
CGGUAGGCUUAACACAUGCAAGUCGUGCGAGAAGUACCUUCGGGUGCGAGUAGAGCGGCGGACGGGUGAGUAACGCGUAGGAAUCUACCUAGUAGAAGGGGAUAGCCCGGGGAAACUGGGAUUAAUACCGUAUACCUCCUUAUGGAGAAAGAGGGCUUAGCUUUGAUGCUCUCGCUAUUAGAUGAGCCUGCGUAAGAUUAUCUUGUUGGUGAGGUAAUGGCUGACCAAGGCGACGAUCUUUAGAUGGUUUGAGAGGACGAUCAGCCACAUUGGGACUGAGACACGGCCCAGACUCCUACGGGAGGCAGCAGUUGGGAAUAUUGGACAAUGGGCGCAAGCCUGAUCCAGCCAUACCGCGUGUGGAAGAAGGCUUUCGGGUUGUAAAGCACUUUAAGUAAGGAGGAAAAGAUUGUAGUUAAUACCUGCAAUCCGUGACGUUACUUACAGAAUAAGGACCGGCUAAUUCCGUGCC